This is a non-coding RNA of Sardina pilchardus (European sardine), 559 nucleotides long. The record is from the annotation of a RefSeq genome assembly. Lineage: Eukaryota; Metazoa; Chordata; Actinopteri; Clupeiformes; Clupeidae.
CACAGUGGUGGGGUCAUGAAGGACUCUAGUGAGGAGCUGAGCAGGAAGAGCUCGGCCACACUGGUGUGCCUGGCUGACCAGGGCUUCCCCUCCGACUGGAGCCUGAGCUGGAAGGUGGAUGGGAGCAGGAAGAGUGGAGUGGCCAGUGGUGGGGUCAUGAAGGACGCUCUGUACAGCUGGAGCAGCACCCUGACGCUCAGUGAUGCCGAGUGGAACGGGGCCUCUUCAGUGGUCUGUGAGGCCACCCAGGGAUCUCAGGGAGCGGUCACUAAAGCCCUGAGCAGAGCGGACUGCUCUCAGUAGGGUCCAGUCUCUGCUCUGAUGAGGCGGCUGCUCUCUUAGCUCAAGUCCUCACGUGGAGCGCCACUGUAGGCAGAUUCAGCACAUGCUGUGCUGCAGUUUUACUUUGUUUGGUGUUUUCUUAUUCCAAUUGUGUGUAUGUUCUUCCUCUCAUGCUGAAAUGCUGUCAUUGAUUAAAAAAUAAUAAUUCCUUUGCUUGAUCAGAUUUUUGUCAAUUGAAGAUAUUCUUUAAAGGCUCUUAAAUAAAAUGUGAACUUCA